Molecule: transfer RNA, 73 nt
Filed under: Schistocephalus solidus
Lineage: Eukaryota; Metazoa; Platyhelminthes; Cestoda; Diphyllobothriidea; Diphyllobothriidae
Rfam family: tRNA
About the family: Transfer RNA (tRNA) molecules are approximately 80 nucleotides in length. Their secondary structure includes four short double-helical elements and three loops (D, anti-codon, and T loops).
Source: Rfam by way of RNAcentral
GGUCUCCUAGCUCAGUUGGCUAGAGCAUUGGCCUUUCCCCUUGCUAGCGUGGGUACGAAUCCCACCGUGGCCG